AGUGAACGCUGGCGGUAGGCCUAACACAUGCAAGUCGAACGGCAGCACAGUAAGAGCUUGCUCUUACGGGUGGCGAGUGGCGGACGGGUGAGGAAUACAUCGGAAUCUACUUUUUCGUGGGGGACAACGUAGGGAAACUUACGCUAAUACCGCAUACGACCUACGGGUGAAAGCAGGGGAUCUUCGGACCUUGCGCGAUUGAAUGAGCCGAUGUCGGAUUAGCUAGUUGGCGGGGUAAAGGCCCACCAAGGCGACGAUCCGUAGCUGGUCUGAGAGGAUGAUCAGCCACACUGGAACUGAGACACGGUCCAGACUCCUACGGGAGGCAGCAGUGGGGAAUAUUGGACAAUGGGCGCAAGCCUGAUCCAGCCAUACCGCGUGGGUGAAGAAGGCCUUCGGGUUGUAAAGCCCUUUUGUUGGGAAAGAAAAGCAGCAGGUUAAUACCCCGCUGUUCUGACGGUACCCAAAGAAUAAGCACCGGCUAACUUCGU
This 491-nucleotide ribosomal RNA is filed under the name uncultured bacterium. RNAcentral's name for it is "partial 16S ribosomal RNA". It matches the Rfam family "Bacterial small subunit ribosomal RNA", at positions 29 to 506 of the family's 1533-position model. The record is from RNAcentral.